RNAcentral lists this ribosomal RNA (420 nucleotides) under uncultured bacterium. RNAcentral's name for it is "partial 16S ribosomal RNA". It matches the Rfam family "Bacterial small subunit ribosomal RNA", at positions 360 to 772 of the family's 1533-position model. The record is from RNAcentral.
AAUAUUGGACAAUGGUGGCAACCCUGAUUCAGCCAUGCUUCGAGUGUGAAGAAGGUCUUCGGAUUGUAAAACACUUUAAGUUGGGCGGGAGGGCUUUAGGUUAAUACUCUGACUUUUUUACGUUACCAUCAGAAUAAGCACCUGCUGACUCUGCGCAAGCAGCCCCGGUAAUACAGAGGGUGCAAGCGUUAAUCGGAAUUACUGGGCGUAAAGCGCGAGUAGGUGGUGCAGUAAGAUGGGUGUGAAAGCCCCGGGCUUAACCUGGGAACUGCUUUCAUAACUGCUGAGCUAGAGUACGGUAGAGGGUAGUGGAAUUUCAUGUGUAGCGGUGAAAUGCGUAGAUAUAGGAAGGAACACAAGUGGCGAAGGCGAAUACCUGGACUGAUACUGACACUGAGGUGCGAAAGCGUGGGGAGCAAA